This 253-nucleotide ribosomal RNA is filed under the name uncultured bacterium. Its description in RNAcentral is "partial 16S ribosomal RNA". It matches the Rfam family "Bacterial small subunit ribosomal RNA", at positions 524 to 776 of the family's 1533-position model. The record is from RNAcentral.
UACGUAGGGUGCGAGCGUUAAUCGGAAUUAUUGGGCGUAAAGCGCGCGUAGGCGGUCUUGUAAGUCGGAUGUGAAAUCCCUCGGCUUAACUGAGGAAGUGCAUCCGAAACUGCAAGGCUUGAGUACGAAAGAGGAUCGCGGAAUUCCCGGUGUAGAGGUGAAAUUCGUAGAUAUCGGGAGGAACACCGGUGGCGAAGGCGGCGAUCUGGGUCGAGACUGACGCUGAGGCGCGAAAGCGUGGGGAGCAAACAGG